CGUGUAGGCUGCUUCGCAAGUCGGAUGUGAAAGCCCUGGGCUCAACCCAGGAAGUGCAUUCGAAACUGCAGAGCUGGAGUCCUGGAGAGGAAGGCGGAAUUCUCGGUGUAGAGGUGAAAUUCGUAGAUAUCGAGAGGAACACCGGUGGCGAAGGCGGCCUUCUGGACAGUGACUGACGCUGAGACGCGAAAGCGUGGGGAGCAAACA
RNAcentral lists this ribosomal RNA (207 nucleotides) under uncultured delta proteobacterium. Its description in RNAcentral is "partial 16S ribosomal RNA". It matches the Rfam family "Bacterial small subunit ribosomal RNA", at positions 568 to 774 of the family's 1533-position model. Lineage: Bacteria; Deltaproteobacteria. The record is from RNAcentral.